This 82-nucleotide transfer RNA is filed under the name bacterium. Its description in RNAcentral is "tRNA-Leu". It matches the Rfam family "tRNA". Rfam says of the family: Transfer RNA (tRNA) molecules are approximately 80 nucleotides in length. Their secondary structure includes four short double-helical elements and three loops (D, anti-codon, and T loops). The record is from RNAcentral. RNAcentral also lists the same sequence under 4 other names.
GCCGGAGUGGUGAAACUGGCAGACACGCAUGGCUUAGGACCAUGUGCCUCAGGGCUUGGAGGUUCGAGUCCUCUCUCCGGCA